GAUUCCGAGGAGCGCUGCAGCCCCUGGCCCGUUGAGACAUCGGGUCACGGUGUGAGGCUCGGAAAACCGUCCAUCAAGUGAUAACGGCGCUCACCCACU
RNAcentral lists this non-coding RNA (99 nucleotides) under Rhodoferax sp. Its description in RNAcentral is "SAH sequence". It matches the Rfam family "SAH (S-adenosyl-L-homocysteine) riboswitch aptamer". Lineage: Bacteria; Pseudomonadati; Pseudomonadota; Betaproteobacteria; Burkholderiales; Comamonadaceae. RNAcentral also lists the same sequence under 1 other name. The record is from RNAcentral.